CCUUGGUUCUAUUUUGUUGGUUUCUAGGACCAAAGUAAUGAUUAAUAGGAAUAGUUGGGGGCAUUAGUAUUUAGCAGUUAGAGGUGAAAUUCUUGGAUCUGCUAAAGACUAACUUCUGCGAAAGCAUUUGUCAAGGAUGUUUUCAUUAAUCAAGAACGAAAGUUAGGGGAUCGAAGACGAUCAGAUACCGUCGUAGUCUUAACCAUAAACUAUGCCGACUAGGGAUCAGACUGUCGUUAAUUUACUGACGCGUUUGGCACCUUAUGAGAAAUCAAAGUUUUUGGGUUCCGGGGGGAGUAUGGUCGCAAGGCUGAAACUUAAAGGAAUUGACGGAAGGGCACCACCAGGAGUGGAGCCUGCGGCUUAAUUUGACUCAACACG
RNAcentral lists this ribosomal RNA (381 nucleotides) under uncultured fungus. RNAcentral describes it as "SSU rRNA". It matches the Rfam family "Eukaryotic small subunit ribosomal RNA", at positions 828 to 1207 of the family's 1831-position model. The record is from RNAcentral. Lineage: Eukaryota; Fungi.